CAAGAAGACUAUACCUUAUACAUCAGUUUUGGCUUCCAGCAGUCAUCUCCAAGGUGGAGCAAAACUUGAUUGCCCUUGCUGAAUUGAUCUGCUCCUCCCGGGAGAUGACUACUGGAAGCCAAAACUCGUAUUUGUGUGUGUGUAUGCUCUGUUUG
Molecule: non-coding RNA, 155 nt
Organism: Vitis vinifera (wine grape)
Lineage: Eukaryota; Viridiplantae; Streptophyta; Magnoliopsida; Vitales; Vitaceae
Source: RefSeq, marked provisional